Molecule: long non-coding RNA, 1235 nt
Organism: Pipistrellus kuhlii (Kuhl's pipistrelle)
Lineage: Eukaryota; Metazoa; Chordata; Mammalia; Chiroptera; Vespertilionidae
Exons: 3
Source: RefSeq, a predicted model, not a curated record
CCUGCCCUCCAGCAGCGGGGCCCGGGGGCCUGACGGGCCGGCGGAGGAGGGCAGCUUCUCUCCAGGCACCUGGGCGGGCGGCCUCCCUAAGCCUCCCCUUCGGCAGGCCCCGGGGGAGCAGACAGUUCCGAGGAAAGCACCCGCUCUUAAUGGCGGCGGAGGCGGGGGAUAUGUGAUCAAAAUAAUUUGGAGACUACUGCACUAAAAAGUUGGAAGAUUCUGUUCUCAGAAAAUUGAAAAGAAGAAUUUAUAAGCAGAGAUUUGAAACCAUUCAAGACGAUGAUUGAAACCAGUCAGGUGGUUCCUGCGUGCCCCCGUUGUUGUCCCGCGGGUCGGGACAAAAUGGCGUCCAACGUGGGGUACUCCUGAGAAUCUCUAGCGAGAACGUCUACCGGAGAAGUCCUGGCCAGGCACCCCCAGAGUCGCCGCGAGGACCCGCGAGUGAAGACUCAGCACUAGAUCGCCACGGUCCGCCCGCCGUGAGACAGAUCGGAGUAAAGGUAGGUAGACGAUUUUUCAAACAAGAUUUCAGAACAUUUCACCCCUUUUUUUGCUCCAUUGUUAUUAUUGGUUCUCUUGGUUGGUUUCUUCCUGCCCACUAAUAAGCGCUCACUUGCCGAUCUGGGGAAGAGUGAAAGGUACCCAUUUCCGGCUGUGAGAACUCCGAUUCACUUGAACUAGUACCGUCUCCCGGUUUUCUUGGCGAGAAUCCUCUCCAAUUAGAUCUACUCUUAAAACCUUGAGCUUGCUUUGAACAAAAAGUCGUUCACCUCACAGACUCAACCAUGGGAGACCUGCGCGCCUGAGGAGGGCAAAUGGGGUCUCCCUGUCUGUGAGGAUCCGUGUAGGCGGAUUAUACCUACCGACCGUUUCACGCAAGCAAGGGAGUAAAGGGUAGAGUCGAAAAGAGAGUAAUUCCGCCUGAAUUCCUGGGUUAACGAGAAAAUUCAAGCUGACCUGGCACGGGGUUUAUACGUCCCGGAGGCUUACGUGGAGAAGGAACCUCUUAGAGAGCCAUCCAAUCGACCGAUAAUGGGGAAUUUGAGUUGUCAUGAAAUGUUCCUUGACGGUGUCAAGAUUUCCCUCAGAAAGCGAGGAGUAAGGGUUAAAAAAAAAGAAUCUUAGAAAAAGGGCUCAGGGAGUCCCCUCAGGCAAGAGGAAUUAAGGCUAGAAAAAAAGGAUCUUAGAAAUGAAAGUGCUCUUUAGAGUGAAUGUUGAUGUCUAUGUGAUCACAA